GGUGGCUCUCCUGAGCCGGUUGCCAGGCAACGGAGCGCUGCAUUAAUAUGCGCGGCGGAGGGAGCAGGGGAAGCCUCUUGCCUCUGGAGCGUGGCGGCAGCGGCGGCGGCAUCAGCGGCAGCAUCAGCAGUUGGCGGAGCCUGUGGUGGGGUUUGGCGUCAGCGUGGAGUGCAACUCCCCCUCUCAGCGCCCCAGCUAGACAGCCAACUCAUUCCUCAGUCUGCCGCCGAAGCAGCUGAGAGGGUCUCGGUCGCACUUCAGUGGAAGAAUGAUCCUCUCACUUUAUCAUUGUCUUUCUUUCUAGAACUUUUUGCUCUGUCUUCCUGGCGUCUUCAUUCUCUUGUGGACAUUUAAGUUGGGGGACGCCCAACGCAAAGCUCUAAACUCUUUUAAAGUUUUGAGUGAGAGUUGGAACAGCAUCAAUUAAACAGCAUCCUUGUAGUGUCCUAGUGUGGGGAGGUGGCUGUGACCGUGGCAAAUUAAAAACAGAGGGAGAAAGCACUGAGCACAUGAUUCAUGCUCCCUCCUCUUCUCUUCUCUUCUCUCCUCUCCUGUCAUUUCAUCUGCUCAUCACUGGCUCUCACUUCAUCUCUGAGAGGACAAAGUGAUGGAGAGGAGUUCUCCUCUCCUCCUGAACGCAGAAGAGGAACUUGAUGAGAGAUUGAAACUCGGGGCGCCAGUGAGAUGAAACUCGCCAGCGAGAGGAAAUCCGUCCACCCGAGCGAGAGACAAACUGCACAGACGCCCCGAAACGGACAGUCCGCAAGGAGAAGAGCGAGUGGACACAAACCUCUCUGAAAUCCAGGAGCCCCCCCCCCCAGCCGAAGAAUGACCGGAGCCGACUUUCCCCUUAGUGUCCAGGGAUGUCUGCCCACUCCAGAAAGGCAGUCCUGUCCAGCAUGUCCAAUGUUACGUUCCUCCUGAUGCUGUGCAAGCAGAUUGGUCUGAGAGAAAAGCUGCAGACUUUUUCUGGGAAAAUGGUCAACACUGUGAUCAGUGAUGAAGAAAAGGGAAUCCAAGACAAGGAGGGCAAGGAGGAGUCCAUUCUGGCCAUGCUUGGAAUCAUUGGGACCAUACUAAACCUCGUUGUCAUCAUCUUUGUCUACAUUUACACCACACUGUAGUCAACCCCUCCGCUGCUCCCGGAAGGCAAAGAAUCACCCUGACUUCCCGCCAUGCCUAAUGGUUCAGACUCCAGACUGGCUGUCCAGGCCGUUGACUCGCCCGACUGCCACAUAGAUCUCAGACAAUGUUAUUACGGCAAGACUAACUUACGGUUACAUCGAAAAAGGCCCCAGAGAAUCACCAGGGCUUCCCGUUACUGGGUCACUACCACUGUCACAGAACAAGCCCUUACUCCACUGUAAAUAUGCAUGAACAUGCUUUACUGCUGUGAUGAUGGCCUCGUCACAAACAUGGAGGAGCCAAUGAAACUCUUUUCAGUGACUUUAAGUGAGCGAAAUGAGCUUUCUAGCAUUUUUUGAUGUACUGUUUGAAAUGGCACUGAUGCUGUAGGUUAAACCCAUUUAUGAAAUCCACAAAUGGCAACUCUGUGCAGUAUGUUGCUCACCUUGUCAAGGACAUAUUGAGUAUAGUUGUAAAUGCUUUAUUUUACGCAAUACAUUUUGCAUCUUGCGUAUGACACUCCAUAAAUAUGGGAUUUUGUCAAUCACGAAACAUGAGCAAAAGAGCAUGCCUGAUUUAAGUGAUGCAUCCACACUUUUUACAAAGAUGGAGAUUUUACCAUGAGGCAUUCCUUUCAGAAGUGUUGUCUAGGAGCUGAUUUUUUUUUGUCAUGGUCUCAGAAUCUGAAAGCAGCUGGCUGCAAAGGACCUCUACAGGAAUCAUGGAUUCAUUAUCUUCAUGAUCAGCAUUUAACUUCUAUAUAAUGAUCAGGUCAGUAUCUGAGCUAGUGGUCAUGCUUAAUGUAAGGAUGCCUCACGAAGGCUUUGCAAGUCUGCAAUGUUUUUUUCUUAAAUGCAUCACCGUGUUUUAUUUGAUUGGUUUACUGCUCUGUUUUGUAGCUCAUUUGUAGGGUAGGAUGAAAUAGAUGCAUUUGUGUUCUACACAGUUGUAACGAGCUAUUUCAGUAUUUUUCAGCUUAUAUUGCCUUAUGAAAUAAAAAGGGAAUUUGAAUCUUAUAUCCAUGGAUAUGGAAUGGUUGUAUCUAACCUUGGAUAGAACUUCUUAAAAGUGUAUUUUCUCCUGUUUUUCGAAAUUUUAGAUAUCCCUUUAAUCACACAUUCACAGUAUGCUAGCGGUAUUUUAUCUACUUUAUUAAGUUUUCAAAAUAUGUACAUACUUGUGAAAUGGCUCUAAAUUUACAGUCAAUACUAUCAUUACUGACCUUGGUAAAUAAUUAUUUCAGAAGUAUUUCAUUUUUCGUUACAUAUAUAUGUGAGUAAUGCAGUUUAGAAGACAUGGUUUCUUCCAUAUGAACAUUAACACAUUUUGCCAAGUUACACACAGGCGUUGAAGGUACAUUCUAAUCAACAUGACAUCAUGAAGCCCUGUAGUGCUGAUUCUAGUUCUGUCCAUUUUUACUGUAAAAGUUCCUAACGUUCUUUUACUUAAAUCAUUGAAUGAUGGAUGUCGCUGGUUUAUUCACCUGUGUCUAAACUAAAAAUACUGAAAUGACUAAAAUCAUAUCUGUGUGCAGUCCUUCAUAUACAGCAAUGCAUCCCAAACCCUGUUUGCAUCCCAAACAAUUUGAUCUUAUAAGCUCUUUUAAAAGUAACUUCUUAAUUUUAACUAACACCAUAAUGUGAAUUGUGUCAAAAGAAGAAACAUUUUUUGAGUAGCCAUACUGUUUUAUUUACUGAAAAACCUUUUCUUCUGAGCAGGUUUCGGGUAAGGAUGGACUGUAAUUGGCGACUUUACAUUUCUGCACGAAUAAAUCAGUAUUGUCAAAUGUCUGCUUAGGGCACUGCUGUCUCUCUCUGCUCAUGUUGCACACUGGCUAAUGUUUUUGAGAGUCAACAAACCCUUGAGUUUCUCAUUCUAGUUCCAAUUCAUUGUACAGCGGAAUUUGUUUUAAUGCUAUUGUUGAUCAACCCUGUAAUGUGUGACUUUUAUUUCCCCAAGUUGAUUAGAGUUCCAAAGGUGUUGGAGUUAUGAUAUAUGGACAGGUAUUUAGCAGUUUAGCAUGACAUAGAUAGAGGACACGAAGCACAAUUCAUGUAGGCUCUGUACGGUAUGAAUGUAUGUUCAUUAUGAAGGCCUACUGUAUGUGUUUACAGUGUGCUAAUGUGUCUUACUGUGGGACUCCCCUCUUUUCGCCUCAUGUGCCUGCAUUUAAGACAUCGCCAUCAUCUGUUACUCUGGACAUUAUACAAAAAGAUGACUUAACAGUUUCAGUACGUGCCCAGAACUCAACUGAGUCUUCACAUCUACAUGUGCCAUGACAACCAUUUCCAAUGAAAAUAGUGUGGAAUACCUUCGGAGUAUCACACACACGUUUUUUUUGUUUGUUUUAAAAACUCUGUCAGAUAUUGGGCUUUGUUUGUUUUAAAAACUCCGUCAAGUUGAAGUUUGGACUCAUGAAAGCUUACAUUUUGAGACUUCUGUGCCUCUACCCUUCACAAUACCUGGAGGAAAUGGAGGCAAUUGGAAUCUGUGCAGUUAAAUCUGUGCAGUUGAAUCUGUGCUGUUAAAAUGGCUAAUUAUGAGAAUGUAUUUGAAUUAAGUAAUGAAUCAUAUACAUAGGCCAUGUAAAGUUUGUCUUGUAUGUCAUUUCUUUGUGACACGGGAUUGAUUAGAUAGUGUAAGUGACUGAAGUUACUGUAAAAACCUGUGAUAAGGCGCAGCCCAAGAAUGUCUACCCUCACUAUCAUGACAAAGCAUGGGGAGGAAAGAUCAUUUCUAUCUAAAUGCUUUCUAUUGGGAUUUAUUAACAGCUUCAGUAUAUUAUUUACAUAAAUCCUCCAGUUUCAAACUUGUUUAAAAUAAUGUGAGGUAAAUUAUGUGUUUCCCCCCUUGGAAAUAAGGAUUCAUCUGGUGUGUUUUCUAAUUUGGCAGGAUGGUUAUAAAUUGUACAAUUGCAACACUGCAAAGUUUAAAGCUGGCUGAUUUGUUAACAACAAUCAAAACCAAAUAAAAAUUAAAUACCAACACCUCUCUUGCACGCAACACAUUUGUGUCAUUAAAAUUCACUACAUAAAACAGGUGACAAUGUAGGACAAGGAUGUGUUUAGACUAAGAAGCAUUUUUUUUUAAAGCACUACUCAAACUACAGAGCAAACCUAACCAGCUUAAGACCUACCUUAGAAUACACUCUCUAUUGAAGUAGCAGAGAUGAAACUGUGCUUCAGUGACUACACCAUCUCACACAAUGAGACAGAUCCCCGUCAAAUCUCAAAUCAGUCUGAAGGAUGGAAAGAGAGAGGGGGCAUAACGGGCAGGAACAAAAGCAGCAGAAACCAAACAAGUUUAUUUUUGUCCUGUCUCUUUCUUUUUGCCUGCAUCAUUUAAGUCAUAUAAGUGUCAGAAUAAUUUUUCUACUCCUGCAGAAGCCCCUCAAGAUUUGUAACAGACUGGAAUAAUCUUGUUUGGGGGGGAGAGAAAUAAAUAUAAAAAAAACUAAAACAGCUUAACUCCACAUUUCUUGAAUAUAUUGGAUUAGGCAGUGAACCAAGUAAACAAUGUUGUUUGAAGUUCCACAGCUGCUGGAGCUCCCACAUGCCCAGGAGCCUCUGUUCUGAGCUAUUGUCUUACCUGGAUGUGGAACACAGCCUGAGAUCACGUUGAGGCUCUAAUGUGCUCACUGGGAAAAAAUGUUUUCAGGGUUUUUGCGCAAUGUGCUCAAUUUAUGAAUUUAAAGAAGUCUAAUUAUGCCCCUGUAAGACUCAAAUUGACCAAUGGUGAUUGUGUGUCUGGGUGUAUAUGUGUGUGUGUGUGUCUGUGUUUUAAUGCCCUGUAAUUCUCUCUAAUUGGUAUUUUGUUCUUUCGAUGAGAUAUGCUAGACACUAAUUGUCAGAGAAGUUAACAGUGGUCAUAGUCAGUACAUCUGUUUGCAUAAAAUCAUCCCAAUGCUUUAAGCAAUCAGCUCAAGAGCUUUAGGUUAAAUCAAUCAUUUGUUCACCUAUAGGAAUAUUGAGUUGAAACUGAUUUCCAGAGUUUUGCAUUUGUAUUGUUUCUUGUGAAAAAUCUGUUUGGCUGUUUAAACAGUUUCAACAUGCUUAAUUACAUCCUGAACAUGGGGCUGUUAUGGUUCUGGCUGACUUCAUUCUAGGAACCAGAUCUUGAGGAACAUAGACCUACUGUACAUUUUAUUUUGAGAUCUAGGUAUAGGUAGACUGAACUGAGGGCCAGACUUCGGCUUAGUGAAAGGGGAGCUUCUCUAUUGGGUUCCUCUUUUAUUGUCUUCAUUCCCUAUUCUCUCCAUGUUUAUUGUGUAUUGGCUGCAAACCAACAGAGAAUGGUGUUUCUCUUUGAUGUCAUUCCAGUUGCAAACCUUUGUUUCUGUUCUGUGAAAACAAGCCUCAAGUCUCAUUUUGAUGGUACGACAGCAAUAAUUAGCAAGGCACUUAAUUACAACACUUUUUGAUUUUUCUAACCACACAGUUUUUGCUCUUCUUUGCAGGAUAACAAGGAGUAUUAUCACUAUUAACAGCUCAAAUAUGUAUAUUGUAUCGUGUGCCUGUGUACAUAGACUGCCUUUGCGAUUUUGCCAUUUUGUAGACAGCAGAGAUAACAGUGCAAACUUCACACUGAUUUUCUUGGCACACCUCCCAGACUAUAAUACAUUCAUAAUGUAAGGUAUCCAAGCUAAUCACAAUCAGUCACCAUGUUUUGAAAUCUUUUCACUUGUGGUUGUUAAGUGAAGAACUAGCAUUGACAAAGGAUAGAUAAUGAGAGGAGAGUAGAUAGCUGAUUUUGCAGCCUUCAGUAACAGGCUGUGAGCUGUCCGUGGUCCUGUCUGUGGAGCGACACACAUACACGUCCAAGUGUAACUGGGAUGUGUUUCAAAAGCAUUGCCACUCAAGAAAGGUUGAGUUACACUUCAUCACAGUAUGAUUUAUAGCAUCAUAUUAUAUAUCAGAAUAGAAUCCCAUAGCAUAUAGUAGCAUUGGCUGAAUCUAGUUGGCACUGGAGGACCAGUUCCCUGUUUUAGUGUUGUACACGGAGGGUGAUGACAACCCUAUUUGCAAGUGCAUGUUGACUUAUCGU
Long non-coding RNA from Clupea harengus (Atlantic herring), 6168 nucleotides. The record is from Ensembl. NCBI's taxonomy places the organism in Eukaryota, Metazoa, Chordata, Actinopteri, Clupeiformes, Clupeidae.